CCUACGGGUGGCAGCAGUGAGGAAUAUUGGUCAAUGGGCGCGAGCCUGAACCAGCCAAGUAGCGUGAAGGAUGACUGCCCUACGGGUUGUAAACUUCUUUUAUAAAGGAAUAAAGUGAGGCACGUGUGCCUUUUUGUAUAUACUUUAUGAAUAAGGCUCGGCUAACUCCGUGCCAGCCACCGCGGUAAUACGGAGGAUCCGAGCGUUAUCCGGAUUUAUUGGGUUUAAAGGGAGCGUAGAUGGGUUGUUAAGUCAGUUGUGAAAGUUUGCGGCUCAACCGUAAAAUUGCAAUUGAUACUGGCAGCCUUGAGUACAGGUGAGGUAGGCGGAAUUCGUGGUGUAGCGGUGAAAUGCAUAGAUAUCACGAAGAACCCCGAUUGCGAAGGCAGCCUACUAAACUGCCACUGACAUUGAUGCUCGAAAGUGUGGGUAUCAAACAGGAUUAGAUACCCGGGUAGUC
RNAcentral lists this ribosomal RNA (460 nucleotides) under uncultured bacterium. Its description in RNAcentral is "partial 16S ribosomal RNA". It matches the Rfam family "Bacterial small subunit ribosomal RNA", at positions 338 to 795 of the family's 1533-position model. The record is from RNAcentral.